CUCAUUUUUUCUCUUGCUGCCACCAUGUGAGAAGUGCAUUUCACCUCCUGCCGUGAAUGUGAGGCCUCCUCAGCCAUGUGGAACUGAUUCCCCUGACCUCUACAACAAGUUUGGUUGUCUCAUAUUCUCUCCAGUUCCUUAGGCCAGCUCAAGUUUUAUCAGUAUCUUUUGGACCCAAUGAGUCCUUCCUGGCCUCACUCCAGAAGAAGACUGGCCUCAGUCCAGAGAAACAAAAAAUGUGAAAUUCACCCACUGGAACUCUCCUUCUCCAAGUAUCAGUCUCCUUCCAGAAUUUCCGGCUUCUGGUCUCUUUUCAAGGAAUUUAGAAGCCAAAGAACAAAUUUAAAAGAAUUUGUCCUCUGGAGAAAGUGAAGAUUAAGUCA
Molecule: long non-coding RNA, 383 nt
Filed under: Homo sapiens (human)
Lineage: Eukaryota; Metazoa; Chordata; Mammalia; Primates; Hominidae
Description: non-protein coding lnc-FTMT-2:10
Source: RNAcentral